RNAcentral lists this ribosomal RNA (492 nucleotides) under uncultured bacterium. Its description in RNAcentral is "partial 16S ribosomal RNA". It matches the Rfam family "Bacterial small subunit ribosomal RNA", at positions 29 to 507 of the family's 1533-position model. The record is from RNAcentral.
AGUGAACGCUGGCGGUAGGCCUAACACAUGCAAGUCGAACGGCAGCACAGUAAGAGCUUGCUCUUACGGGUGGCGAGUGGCGGACGGGUGAGGAAUACAUCGGAAUCUACUUUUUCGUGGGGGAUAACGUAGGGAAACUUACGCUAAUACCGCAUACGACCUACGGGUGAAAGCAGGGGAUCUUCGGACCUUGCGCGAUUGAAUGAGCCGAUGUGGGAUUAGCUAGUUGGCGGGGUAAAGGCCCACCAAGGCGACGAUCCGUAGCUGGUCUGAGAGGAUGGUCAGCCACACUGGAACUGAGACACGGUCCAGACUCCUACGGGAGGCAGCAGUGGGGAAUAUUGGACAAUGGGCGCAAGCCUGAUCCAGCCAUACCGCGUGGGUGAAGAAGGCCUUCGGGUUGUAAAGCCCUUUUGUUGGGAAAGAAAAGCAGCAGGUUAAUACCCCGCUGUUCUGACGGUACCCAAAGAAUAAGCACCGGCUAACUUCGUG